GAUGGACGCUGGCGGCGUGCCUAAUACAUGCAAGUCGAGCGAACAAACGAGGAGCUUGCUCCUCUGACGUUAGCGGCGGACGGGUGAGUAACACGUGGAUAACCUACCUAUAAGACUGGGAUAACUUCGGGAAACCGGAGCUAAUACCGGAUAAUAUAUUGAACCGCAUGGUUCAAUAGUGAAAGACGGUUUUGCUGUCACUUAUAGAUGGAUCCGCGCCGCAUUAGCUAGUUGGUAAGGUAACGGCUUACCAAGGCAACGAUGCGUAGCCGACCUGAGAGGGUGAUCGGCCACACUGGAACUGAGACACGGUCCAGACUCCUACGGGAGGCAGCAGUAGGGAAUCUUCCGCAAUGGGCGAAAGCCUGACGGAGCAACGCCGCGUGAGUGAUGAAGGUCUUCGGAUCGUAAAACUCUGUUAUUAGGGAAGAACAAAUGUGUAAGUAACUAUGCACGUCUUGACGGUACCUAAUCAGAAAGCCACGGCUAACUACGUG
RNAcentral lists this ribosomal RNA (497 nucleotides) under uncultured bacterium. RNAcentral describes it as "partial 16S ribosomal RNA". It matches the Rfam family "Bacterial small subunit ribosomal RNA", at positions 28 to 507 of the family's 1533-position model. The record is from RNAcentral.